AGUGCCACCGAGAGCAGUUCUGCGCUUGCUCCCAGGAGCGCCCCACGCUCAUCCCCACCCAGCCCCACUCAGGGAGCUCGGCGCUGGCGGGCGCUAGCACGGAGGUUCUCGCCCGGCGGGGAAGAGCUGAGUCACCGGGGCUGGUGACCAACUCCCUUCGGAGGAACUCCGUGGCCUGACACGGGACCAGGAAAAGGAGCUGCUUUGGAAACGGAACCCUUUUCAAGGAAAUUGACCAAGUCAUCUGAUUCUGGUUCCAGGUCUCUUCCUAUUACCUUCCAGCUGUUUUCCCCAGGGUACAAGGGUCCCCGGUUUCCUACCUCAGCUCUAUUUGUUCUUCCUUCUCCUCCGAAGACCUCACAUUGCUCCUUGUCCACCAGUAAGUUUUGAUACGCACGGCCCCGUGAGGCUUUGGGGAUUCUUUCUCAGCUCAGUAGCUGUGACUGUUGGUCUUGUUACACUUCCAGAAGAUGCUUGGAUUCAUAAGCUCUUUUUUACAUUUGUGCCAUUUUGGGCAUCAUGCUUUUCCUUUUUUUUCCCCCCUGAUUAUAAUAGUAAUGCAUGUUGACUAUAGAA
Choloepus didactylus (southern two-toed sloth) is the source of this 576-nucleotide long non-coding RNA. RefSeq lists it as uncharacterized. The transcript has 4 exons. The record is from RefSeq and is a predicted model, not a curated record. Lineage: Eukaryota; Metazoa; Chordata; Mammalia; Pilosa; Megalonychidae.